RNAcentral lists this non-coding RNA (29 nucleotides) under Rattus norvegicus (Norway rat). The record is from RNAcentral. Lineage: Eukaryota; Metazoa; Chordata; Mammalia; Rodentia; Muridae.
GAGGCAGUUUUGAGCUUUUUCUAGCAGUC